Molecule: ribosomal RNA, 617 nt
Filed under: uncultured bacterium
Lineage: Bacteria
Description: bacterial SSU rRNA
Rfam family: Bacterial small subunit ribosomal RNA
Source: RNAcentral
AUGCAAGUCGCGCGACAAGCCUCUUUUAGCUUGCUAUUAGAGGUGGAGGAGCGGCGUAAGGGAGAGUAACGGGUGGAUUAUCUGCCCCUAGGCCCAGGAUAGCUGCGGGAAACUGCAAGUAAUACUGGAUAAUAUCUGCGGAUCAAAGGUGUGAUUCCGCCUAGGGAUGAGUCCGCCUCCUAUUAGCUUGUUGGUGGGGUAAUGGCCUACCAAGGCUACGAUGGGUACCGGGUGUGAGAGCAUGGCCCGGCUCACUGGGACUGAGACACUGCCCAGACACCUACGGGUGGCUGCAGUCGAGAAUCUUCGGCAAUGGGCGCAAGCCUGACCGAGCGAUGCCGCGUGCGGGAUGAAGGCCUUCGGGUUGUAAACCGCUGUCAGUAGGGAGGAAAUGCAUGGGGGUCAUCCCCUAUGUUUGACCUAUCUUCAGAGGAAGGACGGGCUAAGUUCGUGCCAGCAGCCGCGGUAAGACGAACCGUCCAAACGUUAUUCGGAAUUACUGGGCUUAAAGGGUGCGUAGGCGGCGCGGUUAGUCGGAUGUGAAAUCGUACAGCUCAACUGUACAACUGCGUCCGAUACUGCCGUGCUCGAGGAAGGCAGAGGUGAGCGGAACUCAG